AACAAUAUACUUAAAAAUUAAAACUUUUCUUUCAUACAUUCUAUCAUACGCCAAACUCAACCUGUGCAUGCACUGAACAUAAUCAUCAUCAUAAACUUGAACCCUCUAUGGGAUCUCAUCAAUGCCCCCAACGGGUGGCAUAACCUGUGUUGAGUUGGCUAACAUAGUCAUCAAUAAAUAUUAAGAUCAUGUAACAAAAAGGGAUUACAACAUCUAUAGGGUCAAGCACAACUUCUAAUCCUCAAUAUCAUUAUACAU
This 258-nucleotide long non-coding RNA is filed under the name Manihot esculenta (cassava). RNAcentral's name for it is "long non-coding RNA (MESC_LNC006486)". The record is from RNAcentral. Lineage: Eukaryota; Viridiplantae; Streptophyta; Magnoliopsida; Malpighiales; Euphorbiaceae.